UUGGAGGGCAAGUCUGGUGCCAGCAGCCGCGGUAAUUCCAGCUCCAAUAGCGUAUAUUAAAGUUGUUGCAGUUAAAAAGCUCGUAGUUGAAUUUCGGGAUCAAUACGUCGGUCGUGCUUUUUUGGUACGCACUGGCGUCAUUGGUUUCUCCUUUCUGACGAACCAUGAUGUCAUUAAUUUGGUGUUAUGGGGAGUUAGGACUGUUACUUUGAAAAAAUUAGAGUGUUUAAAGCAGGCAUUAGCUUGAAUACAUUAGCAUGGAAUAAUGAAAUAGGACGUUCGAUCCUAUUUUGUUGGUUUCUAGGAUCAACGUAAUGAUUAAUAGGGAUAGUUGGGGGCAUUAGUAUUCAAUUGUCAGAGGUGAAAUUCUUGGAUUUAUUGAAGACUAACUACUGCGAAAGCAUUUGCCAAGGAUGUUUUCAUUAAUCAAGAACGAAAGUUAGGGGAUCGAAGACGAUCAGAUACCGUCGUAGUCUUAACCAUAAACUAUGCCGACUAGGGAUCGGAUGAUGUUAAUUUUUAAUGACUCAUUCGGCGCCUUACGGAAAC
Molecule: ribosomal RNA, 549 nt
Filed under: uncultured Glomeromycotina
Lineage: Eukaryota; Fungi; Glomeromycota
Description: SSU rRNA
Rfam family: Eukaryotic small subunit ribosomal RNA
Source: RNAcentral